AUGAGGGGAGGAAGGGAUGGAGCUGCGCUCGUGACAGCCGGUGCCGAGCGCUGGUGCGCAUCCCUCCCCCUGCGAGGAUGCAGCAGGGCCGCCCGUCCCUCUGCUGCAUCUCCGCCGUCCGCGGCUCGCGGGGUGCCCCUGAGCCAGGUGAGGGGGGCACGGGGCUGGGGGGGCGGCUGCGGGUGCACCCCAGGGUGGGGGUGCAGCCUCCUGCUCGGCAGAAAGAGGGGCGGAGGGGAUGGGGAGGCUCGCUUGGUUUUGGGGGGGAAGGACGGAUGCGCUGCUGGGGGUGGCACGGGGAGGAGAGGGGAGCUCGUGGCGGACCUGGGGGCUCCUCUCCCUCUGCCCUUCCCGUGCUCCGAUGUGCUAUGUGCGAGCCAUUUGUCCUGGCUCAGCACUCCCUCCUCUCACCUGCACCAGGAAUUUGGGGUCCCUGGUGCCGGGCUGGAGGAGCAGGAGGCUGGGGAGGUGCUGCUGGGGCUCUGGGCUGCACCACGGCCGCUGCAGCCCCGCCACGGAGCAGAGCCUCCGACGCUCCCUGCUCUGCCGUAUUCCAGGCUGGUUUCCCCCCAGCGGUUCCCCCCUCUCCCAUCUGCUCCCGCUCUGGCUCUCCUGCCUCGCCUCCAGCCCCGUUUGCUGGAGGAGGAGAUGCCCACGUCCGGCUGCUGCGUGAGCCCUGGUGCUCUGCGGUCCCCACGGGUCCCCCAGCCCAGCCCCGUGUCCCGCUGGUGCUCGGCAUCCCCGCGGGUCUCGGUUCCAUUUCCUUCCCGCAAAAUCCCCAGCUCAAGGGCGAGCCCUUGCCAAAUGAGACCGACUGAGCACAAAGUUUUAUGGUUAAGCCGUAAUUUCCUGACGGUGGGGUUAGCAGGGGACAGCUUGGUGGCGGUGCUGGGAAGGGGCGCUGCACCCGGAGCUGGGCGGCCGCUGUCUUCGGCUCCCAUCCGCGUCCCCAGCCUCGGUCCCCCCAGGGCAGCGAGGUCCAUGCUGGGAGCAGGGAGCUGCCCACAGCCCUGUGACACAGCCACAAGCUCUCCCUGCUCCGUUUUUAGCUGCUUUGUCUCCUGGUGA
Molecule: long non-coding RNA, 1068 nt
Filed under: Anser cygnoides (Swan goose)
Lineage: Eukaryota; Metazoa; Chordata; Aves; Anseriformes; Anatidae
Description: lncRNA (ENSACDG00005014861.1)
Source: RNAcentral